Molecule: ribosomal RNA, 460 nt
Filed under: uncultured bacterium
Lineage: Bacteria
Description: partial 16S ribosomal RNA
Rfam family: Bacterial small subunit ribosomal RNA
Source: RNAcentral
CCUACGGGUGGCAGCAGUGAGGAAUAUUGGUCAAUGGGCGCAAGCCUGAACCAGCCAAGUCGCGUGAGGGAAGACGGUCCUAUGGAUUGUAAACCUCUUUUAUCAGGGAAUAAAGUGCGCGACGUGUCCCGUUCCGUAUGUACCCUAUGAAUAAGGAUCGGCUAACUCCGUGCCAGCAGCCGCGGUAAUACGGAGGAUCCGAGCGUUAUCCGGAUUUAUUGGGUUUAAAGGGUGCGUAGGCGGCCAUUUAAGUCAGCGGUGAAAGUCUGUGGCUCAACCAUAGUAUAGCCGUUGAAACUGGGUGGCUUGAGUAUGUUAGAGGUAGGCGGAAUGCGUGGUGUAGCGGUGAAAUGCUUAGAUAUCACGCAGAACCCCGAUUGCGAAGGCAGCCUACCGAGGCAUGACUGACGCUGAUGCACGAAAGCGUGGGUAUCGAACAGGAUUAGAUACCCGUGUAGUC